RNAcentral lists this ribosomal RNA (430 nucleotides) under gamma proteobacterium SCGC AAA240-I14. RNAcentral's name for it is "SSU rRNA". It matches the Rfam family "Bacterial small subunit ribosomal RNA", at positions 515 to 1377 of the family's 1533-position model. Lineage: Bacteria; Pseudomonadati; Pseudomonadota; Gammaproteobacteria. The record is from RNAcentral.
GCGCGGUAAUACGGAAGGUGCGAGCGUUAAUCGGAAUUACUGGGCGUAAAGCGAGCGUAGGCUGUUAAUUAAGUCGAAUGUGAAAUCCCCGGGCUCAACCUGGGAACUGCAUUCGAAACUAUUUAACUAGAGUAUGGGAGAGGAAAGUAGAAUUUCCGGUGUAGCGGUGAAAUGCGUAGAUAUCGGAAGGAAUACCAGUGGCGAAGGCGGCUUUCUGGAACAAUACUGACGCUGAGGUUCGAAAGCGUGGGGAGCAAACAGGAUUAGAUACCCUGGUAGUCCACGCCGUAAACGAUGAGAACUAGAUGUUGGGAGGAUUGGCCUCUCAGUGUCGCAGCUAACGCAAUAAGUUCUCCGCCUGGGGAGUACGACCGCAAGGUUGAAACUCAAAGGAAUUGGCGGGGGAGCACGGUCAUACUUGUUUUCCUGA